Molecule: long non-coding RNA, 360 nt
Filed under: Citrus sinensis (sweet orange)
Lineage: Eukaryota; Viridiplantae; Streptophyta; Magnoliopsida; Sapindales; Rutaceae
Description: long non-coding RNA (CSIN_LNC005644)
Source: RNAcentral
ACAGUCUCGUCUCUCUUCUUUCUCGUUCUCUCGAAAAAAGCUUAAUUUCUCUGCUCGUCCUUCUCGGGUACGGUAUAUAUAUUUUGCCAUAUAUAUAUGUAUAUUAGCUUUUGGAUCUAUUAAAAAAAAAGAAUUUUGAACUUGAUUUCAUUUUCUAAUGGACUGGUAAGUGACUGUUAGUCUUAGAUCUAGUGUUUGGCUGCCGUGAUUUUGCUAGAUCCGAUCUUGAAUACAUCUGCAAUUAAUCUUUUCCGAAAAACAUUGAGCAUGGUUUUGAUUUCCGAACUUUUAGAUCUGAAAAAAAAAAUUUGUAAAAAACUCACUAAUACUCAACCAAAAUCUGUUCAUUUAAAAAAAAAA